GACCCCAGGUCAGGCGGGACUACCCGCUGAAUUUAAGCAUAUCAAUAAGCGGAGGA
This 56-nucleotide ribosomal RNA is filed under the name Paeonia suffruticosa (tree peony). RNAcentral describes it as "partial 26S ribosomal RNA". Lineage: Eukaryota; Viridiplantae; Streptophyta; Magnoliopsida; Saxifragales; Paeoniaceae. The record is from RNAcentral.